Non-coding RNA from Myodes glareolus (Bank vole), 363 nucleotides. NCBI's taxonomy places the organism in Eukaryota, Metazoa, Chordata, Mammalia, Rodentia, Cricetidae. The record is from RefSeq and is a predicted model, not a curated record.
CCUGAGCAAGCUGAUCCUCUCAAGGUGCCUGGGCUUCUGCCGGAGCUCUGAGGCCUGCAUGUGUGAAGUCUUCUCUAUUUCUCUCACAAGACAGAAUAAAGACACGAACAUACAGCCUCAGAGAAAAACGUCCUCGACUUAAAUCCAUAUGAAGAAAGCUGUGAUCAUUAAUCCUCCUUAUAAGCAGGCUAUUACAGCUGAAAGGUGGAGAGCCCUCGAGCACCUGGGUAGCCCUGGAGGACUGGAGAGAAAGGGCAAAGGAAAGGUUACACCAUGACUGUAACGUGUGAGGUCCAGGAAGAUGGCUCGGAGGGUAAAAGACGCAUCACACACGACAACCUGAAGGCCCACAUGGAAGACGGG